CUACGGGCUGCUGCAGUGGGGAAUAUUGCACAAUGGAGGAAACUCUGAUGCAGCGACGCCGCGUGGAGGAUGACACUUUUCGGAGCGUAAACUCCUUUUAUAUAGGAAGAAGAUGACGGUACUAUAUGAAUAAGCGCCGGCUAACUCCGUGCCAGCAGCCGCGGUAAUACGGAGGGCGCAAGCGUUAGUCGGAAUCACUGGGCGUAAAGAGCGUGUAGGCGGAUUAAAAAGUCAGAAGUGAAAUCCUAUAGCUUAACUAUAGAACUGCUUCUGAAACUCUUAAUCUAGAAUAUGGGAGAGGUAGAUGGAAUUUCUGGUGUAGGGGUAAAAUCCGUAGAGAUCAGAAGGAAUACCGAUUGCGAAGGCGAUCUACUAGAACAUUAUUGACGCUGAGACGCGAAAGCGUGGGGAGCAAACAGGAUUAGAUACCCGCGUAGUC
Molecule: ribosomal RNA, 439 nt
Filed under: uncultured bacterium
Lineage: Bacteria
Description: partial 16S ribosomal RNA
Rfam family: Bacterial small subunit ribosomal RNA
Source: RNAcentral